RNAcentral lists this ribosomal RNA (406 nucleotides) under uncultured bacterium. RNAcentral describes it as "partial 16S ribosomal RNA". It matches the Rfam family "Bacterial small subunit ribosomal RNA", at positions 29 to 526 of the family's 1533-position model. The record is from RNAcentral.
AUUGAACGCUGGCGGCAGGCUUAACACAUGCAAGUCGAGCGAGCGGCGGACGGGUGAGUAAUGCAUGGGAACCUGCCUGAUGGAGGGGGAUAACUACUGGACACGGUAGCUAAUACCGCAUACCAUCAGAUGUGCCCAGAUGGGAUUCGCUAGUAGGUUGGGUAAUGGCUCACCUAGGCGACGAUCCCUAGCUGGUCUGAGAGGUUGACCAUCCACACUUGAACUGAUACACGGUCCAGACUCCCACGGGAGGCAGCCGAGGGGAAGAGUGCACAAUGGGGGGAAGCCUGGUGCAGGCGUGCCGCGUGUGGGAAAUAGGCCGUCGGGUUGGAGGGCACUGUCAGGGGGGAGGCGUUACUCACAGAAUAAGCACCGGGUAACUCCGUGCCAGCCGCCGCGGUAAUUC